Molecule: ribosomal RNA, 2768 nt
Filed under: human gut metagenome
Description: bacterial LSU rRNA
Rfam family: Bacterial large subunit ribosomal RNA (bases 1-2459)
Source: RNAcentral
AGGGCAGACGGUGGAUGCCUUGGCUCUCGGAGGCGAUGAAGGACGUGAUAAGCUGCGAUAAGCUUGGGGUAGGUGCAAAUAACCUUUGAUCCCAAGAUUUCCGAAUGGGGCAACCCGGCUGGUAGAAGGCCAGUCAUUCCGUAAGGAAGGCGAACGUGGGGAACUGAAACAUCUAAGUACCCAUAGGAGAAGAAAACAAAAGUGAUUCCGCAAGUAGUGGCGAGCGAACGCGGAACAGCCCAAACCGAUGAUGUUUAGGCAUUGUCGGGGUAGUAGGACCACGUUGUGGCAAGAGAUUAAUGAAGUAGAACGUUUUGGAACAAACGGCCGUAGACGGUGAAAGCCCGGUAUACGACUCUUUAACGAAGCCUAGUGGAAUCCUGAGUAGCGCGGAGCACGAGAAAUUCUGUGUGAAUCAGCGGGGCCCAUCCCGUAAGGCUAAAUACUCCCGAGAGACCGAUAGCGAACCAGUACUGUGAAGGAAAGGUGAAAAGCACCUCGAACAGAGGAGUGAAAUAGUCCCUGAAACCGUCUGCCUACAAGCGGUCGGAGCAACGUAAGUUGUGACGGCGUGCCUUUUGCAUAAUGAACCUACGAGUUACUUUCUCCGGCAAGGUUAAGGGCUUCAGGCCCGGAGCCGAAGCGAAAGCGAGUCUUAAUAGGGCGUGAUAGUCGGAGUGAGUAGACGCGAAACCAAGUGAUCUACCCUUGGUCAGGAUGAAGGUUGGGUAACACCAACUGGAGGUCCGAAUGGGUAUACGUUGAAAAGUGUUCCAAUGAACUGAGGGUAGGGGUGAAAGGCUAAUCAAACUUGGAGAUAGCUCGUACUCCCCGAAAUGCAUUUAGGUGCAGCCUUUAUUUAGUAUAGCAUGAGGUAGAGCGACUGAUUGGAUGCGAGGGCUUCACCGCCUAUCAAGUCCAGAUAAACUCCGAAUGCGUGCUAUAUAUUGAUAAGGAGUGAGGGCGCGGGUGCUAAGGUCCGCGUCCGAGAGGAGAAGAAUCCAGACCAUCAGCUAAGGUCCCCAAAUAACAGUUAAGUUGAACUAACGAAGUCGGACUGCAGAGACAGCUAGGAUGUUGGCUUGGAAGCAGCCAUUCAUUUAAAGAGUGCGUAACAGCUCACUAGUCGAGGAGUCCGGCGUGGAUAAUACUCGGGCAUAAACUGUUUACCGAAGCUAUGGAUGUAGAAAUACAUGGUAGGGGAGCAUUCCAACGGCGUCGAAGGUGAAGGAUGACCUUUGCUGGAGCUUUUGGAAACGCAAAUGUAGGUAUAAGUAACGAUAAAGGAGGUGAGAAACCUCCUCGCCGAAAGACUAAGGUUUCCUGAUCAACGUUAAUCGGAUCAGGGUAAGUCGGGACCUAAGGUUAAGCCGAACGGCGAUACCGAUGGAAGAAUGGUUUAAUAUUCCCAUACUACUUUAUGGAGCGAUGUGGAGACGGAGAAGUGAAAGUCCUGCCAUCUGACGGAAUAGGUGGUUGAAGAGUGUAGAUGUAGAUUCCUGUAGGCAAAUCCGCAGGGAGAGUCGACCUUGAUAGUAUGCCGCGUGCUUGCACAAGGCAAAAUGGACGUAAUCAGGCUCCCAAGAAAAUCCGCUAAGCAUAUUCAUAAAGUACCCGUACCGUAAACGGACACACGUAGUUGGGUUGAAAAUACUGAGGCGCUCGAGUGAUUCACGGUUAAGGAACUAGGCAAAUUGACCCUGUAACUUCGGGAUAAAGGGUCCCUACUGAGAGGUAGGGCGCAGAGAAUAGGUCCAGGCAACUGUUUAACAAAAACACAUGGCUGUGCGAAAUAGAAAUAUGAAGUAUACAGCCUGACACCUGCCCGGUGCUGGAAGGUUAAGAGGAGAGCUCAUCGCAAGAGAAGGCUUGAAUUGAAGCCCCAGUAAACGGCGGCCGUAACUAUAACGGUCCUAAGGUAGCGAAAUUCCUUGUCGGGUAAGUUCCGACCUGCACGAAUGGUGUAAUGAUCCGGACGCUGUCUCAACCGUGAGCCCAGUGAAAUUGUAGUAUCGGUGAAGAUGCCGAUUACCCGCGAUGGGACGAAAAGACCCCGUGAACCUUUACUAUAGCUUUACAUUGAAUUUGGGCAGACGAUGUGUAGGAUAGGCCGGAGGCUUUGAAGGGGGUACGCCAGUAUCCUUGGAGCCGCCGUUGAAAUACGGCCCUUCGGUUGUUUGAGUUCUAACUCCUAGGCAGGAGGACACUGUAUGGUGGGUAGUUUGACUGGGGUGGUCGCCUCCAAAAGCGUAACGGAGGCUUCUAAAGGUGCCCUCAGACCGAUUGGUAACCGGUCGCAGGAAGUCUGAUAGACGAUUCGGAUAUCAUUGUAUCCAAUCCCAGUGCCGGAAAACUAGAGAAACUGAAAAAAGAAUUUCCGGGUAUCUCCACCACCAACAAUAAUCUGGAAGCAGCCACAGGAGCAGACAUUGUCAUCCUUGCCGUCAAACCGUGGUUUAUGGAAUCGGUGAUGCGCGAGUUGAAAUUAAAAAGCAAACAGAUACUCAUCUCCGUAGCUGCCGGCAUCAGUUUUGAAGAACUGGCUCAUUAUGUCGUAGCACCGGAAAUGGCCAUGUUCCGCCUGAUUCCGAACACCGCUAUCAGCGAACUGGAAAGUAUGACGCUUGUUGCCGCCCGCAAUACGAACGAUGAACAAGACAAAUUCAUCCUCCGGUUGUUCAGCGAGAUGGGAACCGUGAUGCUUAUUCCCGAAGAUAAAAUAGCGGCAGCCACUGCAUUGACCUCCUGCGGUAUCGCUUACGUAUUGA